Molecule: ribosomal RNA, 937 nt
Filed under: Chilostomella sp. AtlMed
Lineage: Eukaryota; Foraminifera; Rotaliida; Chilostomellidae
Description: bacterial SSU rRNA
Rfam family: Eukaryotic small subunit ribosomal RNA
Source: RNAcentral
GUGGAGCAUGUGGCUUAAUUUGACUCAACGCGGGAAAUCUUACCGGGUCCGGACACACUGAGGAUUGACAGGCAAUAUUAAUACAUCAGUUCUUUUUUAUUAAAGUCUGUGUAUUAUGUUAAAUAUGCUAGUCCUUUCAUGAUUAUGUGAUAGGUGGUGCAUGGCCGUUCUUAGUUCGUGGAGUGAUCUGUCUGCUUAAUUGCGUUUCACUAAGGGCCUAUAAAUUUACGUGUGUUGCGGCACUUUGACCCCUCUCUGAGCGCGCGUCUUAGUUUGCUUUGCUCGCACAAUUAGGUCCUGAAAGCAACGAACGUGACCGCAACCUCUUGUUGCCUUUAUUCCAAACAUGUUUGCCAUUUUAAAUGGUAUUCAUGAAAAAAGGCUUUUUAAACUAGAGGGACCGCUGUUACUUUCUUAAACCAGAGGAAGGUUGCGGCAAUAACAGGUCUGUGAUGCCCUUAGAUGUUCCGGGCUGCACACGUGCUACAAUGAUUAUUGCAGUGAGCAUCUCAUUUUUACACACCGCAUGCGCGAGUCCAUUUAUUCACCUCUCUGAGGCGCUUUAAAUGUGUACCUCUGCGCGCGGUAAAGCCUGCUUCGAGAGUAAGUGGGUAAUCAAUUAGAAGUAAUGAUUUCCUUUUUAGCACACAUAUAUACGGCGUCUAUGCCCGGGCUGCCUUGUUGUAGCUUUUGUGCGUAUAGAUGUUUUUUCCGUAUGUGCGAUUGUCAAUUCAUGGUGGGGACAGACCAUUGUUAAUUGUUGGUCUCGGUCUUAACUAGGAAUGCCUUGUACGGGUCUUUGGUUCAACAAACCACCCGGAAUACGUCCCUGCCCUUUGUACACACCGCCCGUCGCUCUUACCGAUGGACUUCUCUGUGAGUUUGAGGGACUGGGAACGCAGAUUUUAUCUGCACACCUAUGGAAACUUAAACGAAC